AGCUCCAAUAGCGUAUAUUAAAGUUGUUGCAGUUAAAAAGCUCGUAGUUGGAUUUCUGGUGGGGGAGGUCUGGUCCGCCCCGCUUUUAGGGUGCGAGUACCGGUCGCCUCUCCGCCAUCCCUUGGCGCCGUGUGCGUGGGUUCGGUUUGUUCCGCGCCCCGCACGUUCAAACGGUCGCCAUCGUUUACUUUGAAGAAAUUAGAGUGUUUCAAGCAGGCAUCCUUGCCGUUGAAUACAUUAGCAUGGAAUAAUGAGAUAGGACUUGGGUUCUAUUUUGUUGGUUUCUAGGGCCGAAGUAAUGAUUGAUAGGGAUCGUUGGGGGUGCUUGUAUUGAGCGGCCAGAGGUGAAAUUCUUGGAUUCGCUCAAGACAAACUAAUGCGAAAGCAUUCACCAAGGAGGUCUUCU
RNAcentral lists this ribosomal RNA (406 nucleotides) under uncultured eukaryote. RNAcentral describes it as "SSU rRNA". It matches the Rfam family "Eukaryotic small subunit ribosomal RNA", at positions 587 to 972 of the family's 1831-position model. The record is from RNAcentral.